GUGUACAGGCAUAUCACCCUGAAUCCGCCCGAUCUCCUCUGAUCACCAAAGCUAAGCAGGGUGGGGCCUGGUUAGUACUUGGCUGGGAGACCGCCUGGGAAUACCGGGUGCUGUAGGCU
This 119-nucleotide ribosomal RNA is filed under the name Piliocolobus tephrosceles (Ugandan red Colobus). Lineage: Eukaryota; Metazoa; Chordata; Mammalia; Primates; Cercopithecidae. The record is from RNAcentral.